GUCUUUUAGGGUUUAUUUAAAGUCUGACCUGCCCAAUGAAUUAUUGAAUGGCCGCGGUAUUUUGACCGUGCAAAGGUAGCAUAAUCAUUUGUCUUUUAAUUAGAGGCUGGAAUGAAUGGUUGGACGAGAAAUCUACUUUCUUUUGUGCAAAUCUAGAAUUUAAUUUUUAAGUCAAAAAGCUUAAAUUUAAUUAAGGGACGAGAAGACCCUAUAGAACUUUAGUAUUUUAUUUUACCACACAAUUUUAAAUUACUUGUGUGGGGUUUUAAAUUACUUGUGUUGGGGUGACAUAGAAAUUUAAUUAACUUUCUUUUAUUAUUAUUCAUAAAUUAUUGUAUUUUUAGAUCCAGGUAUAAUCUUGAUUUUAAGUUUAAGUUACCUUAGGGAUAACAGCGUAAUUCUUUUGGAGAGUUCAUAUCGAUAAAAGAGUUUGCGACCUCGAUGUUGGAUUAAAAUUAGUAUUGGGAGUAGAAAAUUAUAUACUAGGUCUGUUCGACCUUUAAAUUUUUACA
This 512-nucleotide ribosomal RNA is filed under the name Phymata lindigiana. RNAcentral describes it as "partial 16S ribosomal RNA". It matches the Rfam family "Bacterial large subunit ribosomal RNA", at positions 1829 to 2600 of the family's 2925-position model. The record is from RNAcentral. Lineage: Eukaryota; Metazoa; Arthropoda; Insecta; Hemiptera; Phymatidae.